UUUCCGUAGGUGAACCUGCGGAAGGAUCAUUAUUGUAUUACAGAGGUGCGAGGGCUGUCGCUGACUCGCUUGGACGUGCAUUCCCGAGUGUCCCCACACACACCCAUCUCACCCCUACGUGCACCACCGCGUGGGUCCCCCUCUGGCUUGUUCGGUGUGGGGCUUACGCUUUCACUCGGUCUUUGUAUGCAGAGUAGUAUGUAUUAUUUGUCUUUUCGUUCUCGCAAUCAAUACAACUUUCAACAACGGAACUCUUGGCUCUCGCAUCGACGAAGAAAG
RNAcentral lists this unclassified non-coding RNA (279 nucleotides) under plant metagenome. RNAcentral's name for it is "partial contains small subunit ribosomal RNA, internal transcribed spacer 1, and 5.8S ribosomal RNA". The record is from RNAcentral.